Molecule: unclassified non-coding RNA, 635 nt
Filed under: Hevea brasiliensis (rubber tree)
Lineage: Eukaryota; Viridiplantae; Streptophyta; Magnoliopsida; Malpighiales; Euphorbiaceae
Source: RNAcentral
UCAGUUCUUGUUCACAAGGUUAUAUUAGCAUCUCUGGAGCAAGGGGUUCGGGAGGGCAGGAUGCUGCUUCAUGAUUGGCUUGUAAUCCUCACAGCUCAAUAUAAUGAUGCUUGUAAACUGGUUCAGUUUAAGAACGGGAGUUCAGUAACUGGUCAGAUUGAUGUUGCAUUCUCACAAUGCCCACAACUGCAGCCCUUACCUCGUCUAGUUUUUGCUUUGCUUCGAAAUCCUCUUCUGCGCUUCCACGAAGAAGGUGUCCACCCUGACUACCGGAUCUACCUACAGUGUCUUUUCAGUGCACUUGAACCAAGUUCCCUUCAUCGUGCUGUAUAUCCGGUACUAAUGUCAUAUUCUACACCAGAUAAACAAGCAUAUCCUCGCCACUCUUUGAGCCGUGCUGCUUUAAUUACCAGUGGUAGUCCAAUAUUUUUCCUUGAUGCAUUUACAACUCUAAUUGUAUUCUACUCAUCUACAGCAGAUCCUGCACUUCCUUUUCCUCCACCCCAGGAUUGUUUUUUGAGAACUACAAUUAACAAAUUGAAGCAAGACAGAAGUAUAACUCCAAGACUGAUUUUUAUUCGGGGAGGGCAAGAUGAUGCCUCUGCUUUUGAGAAUUACCUCAUUGAGGAACAGGA